Molecule: ribosomal RNA, 519 nt
Filed under: uncultured eukaryote
Lineage: Eukaryota
Description: SSU rRNA
Rfam family: Eukaryotic small subunit ribosomal RNA
Source: RNAcentral
AGGGCACCACCAGGAGUGGAGCCUGCGGCUUAAUUUGACUCAACACGGGAAAACUCACCCGGCCCGGACACUGGAAGGAUUGACAGAUUGAGAGCUCUUUCUUGAUUCAGUGGGUGGUGGUGCAUGGCCGUUCUUAGUUGGUGGAGUGAUUUGUCUGGUUAAUUCCGAUAACGAACGAGACUCUAGCCUAUUAAAUAGAUCGUUGGCUUACAAACGCCGGCGAGACUUCUUAGAGGGACAGGCGGCGAUUCAGCCGCACGAAACAGAGCAAUAACAGGUCUGUGAUGCCUUUAGAUGUCCGGGGCCGCACGCGCGCUACACUGAAGUGAUCAGCGUGCAUUUUGAAACCUACUCUGUCAAGAGUGGGGAACCCAAUGAACCUUCUUCGUGAUUGGGAUAGGGGAUUGUAAUUAUUCCCCUUGAACGAGGAAUUCCCAGUAAGCGCGAAUCAUAAGUUUGCGCUGAUUACGUCCCUGCCCUUUGUACACGCCGCCCGUCGCUACUACCGAUUGAAUGUUU